RNAcentral lists this ribosomal RNA (116 nucleotides) under Carettochelys insculpta (pitted-shelled turtle). Its description in RNAcentral is "partial 16S ribosomal RNA". The record is from RNAcentral. Lineage: Eukaryota; Metazoa; Chordata; Testudines; Carettochelyidae.
AUCAAUCCACCUAGCUCAACCAAUCAACCAAAACACAACAAACUAAAUUAUACUACCUACUAAACAACUAAAACAUUAGCACCCUUAUAAACCUUAGUAUAGGAGAUAGAAAAGAU